UCGUCGGCGAGCAAGGUGAGCAGCCUGGAGCACUGCCACCACGGCGCCGGCGACGAGCCGUCCUUCCGGAUGGAGGACCUUCCCGCGGAGAUUCUACCUGUUAUAAUCUCACUGCUCCCACUUAAAGAGGCUGUGAGGACCAGCAUUGUUUCAACAAGUUGGAAAAUGCUCUGGACAUUCCACUGUAAUCUGUGUUUUUAUGGUCCCAAUGAACUGGAUGAUGACCCUUCUGUGCCCCCUUUGGAAUCUGAUGAGGAGGCCGCCGUUGAUGAAUAUGUCAAAACAUCACAGGCUAAGUUGAAAAUGAAACAAGAUAAGUUCAUUGAGGCUGUGAAUUGUGUUAUUCAACGGCAUAGCAGGGUGGGAAUCAACAAGUUCAGCAUCAGGUGUGGCCUGCACAAGGAGGAAUUUUAUCAUCUUGACAGGUGGAUUGGCUUUGCCGCUUCAUCAAAGGCGAAGAUUGUAGAUUUUGACCUGAAGAAAAUUGAUUCGCCAUCCAGAGAAGUUCACCAGUUCCCUCUUGAGGCCUUAGUUGUUCAAGGCAGCUCUUGUGUGCAGUCCUUGUAUCUCGCUGAUGUUUCUAUAAAGCCACACCCAGGCAUAUUUGGCUUCACACUACUCAGAAGGCUUGUUCUGGAAUUUGUUGAGAUAUUCAGAGACUUUUCAGGAUUUUUAGCAAACUGUUCAGCACUCGAGGACCUAGAGCUGAUUGAGUGCUCCGGUGUAACCAAUUUAAGCAUACCGCACCAACUUGAUAAACUUCAACAUUUGCUAAUUGACAGAAUGGCUGUCGAGACGGUUGAGUCCAAUGCUGCCGAUCUUGCUCAUUUUGAGUACAAAGGAAAAGAGAUCCCUAUAGUACUUCAUGGUCGCUCAAAGCUAGAGAUGGCUACAAUAAUGUUUGAAGGCAGCAAUGGAUUGGCCCGUGCAUUCACUGCAGUUCCAAUCAUUUUGAGAGUGAAGGUGCUAAAUGUGCAAGCUCAAAUAUCUGCUUAUGAACAGUUGCAGAAGCUGGCACCAAGACCGUGUGGCAUGUUUAUGCAUUUGAGACACAUGACUUGUGGGUUAACUGUCUUGUCUCUUAAGAAACCAAAUUCCGAUAAUGGAGUUCUUCAACUGGUCCACUGUCUGAAUGUUGCACCCCUACUGCAGACGUUGCACUUGGAUAUGAUAUAUUCAUACUUCAAGGCUUCAGCGCCUGCUGAGGUGGCGGAGGAGGAAGGCCCCCACAUGCAUCACCAUGGUCAUCUUAAGACUGUCCACAUCAGCGGGUUCCGGUGCUACAAGGCUCAGGCCGAACUGGCAUGUUGUAUCCUGGAAAAUGCUCGUGUUCUUGACCACAUGGAAUUACAACCAAGGGUCGCGGCCGCAAUAUGCAGUUAUGCUGAUCUGAAGAAUUUCGCUGUUGAAAGAAGAUUUUUACCCGGGGUUCGCGAGUGGGCACAGCUUGCUUCGGAACGCUUUGGUAAGGCAAUCACUGUCUUAGACGCCCCUUCAGAGUGA
This 1503-nucleotide ribosomal RNA is filed under the name Triticum aestivum (bread wheat). RNAcentral describes it as "partial small subunit ribosomal RNA". Lineage: Eukaryota; Viridiplantae; Streptophyta; Magnoliopsida; Poales; Poaceae. The record is from RNAcentral.